AGGUAUGCUUUUUAUCUUCUUUUCUUUUUAUAACUUGAUUUUUGGUUGUCUUCUUGUGUUGCUUUUCAUGUAUGCUGUGAAAAUUGGUUGCAUGGUAAUAGUAGAAGCAGUGGUGGAGAUUAUUAGGACAUUGUUCAGUUGUUCAGUUCACUGAUUGGAUUCUAUUCUUCCCCACCCCCCUCCCUCCCACAACACUUUGGAGGUCCCUUAGUGGAGUAGUCCUUUCCCAUACCGUAAUCCAGCUCCCCUAACCCCAAGCUCAUUGUGGUUUGAACCUGGCGUUUGUAAAUCCCAAGUUCAAACUACUGGGGUGUGCCUGUAAGAACUGCAAGAAGAUGACUUUAAAUGACUCGCAGUUGUGGCAGGUGUGGUUAAUUGCCAUGCCAUAUUCUUGACUCGUACCCAUGAUACAUUUUUCUUCUCUUCCUUUCCUGGUUAGCUCAUAAUUUCUUUUGUGUUUGCACUUAUCUGCAAAUUUUUGUCCCAGCUAUCCUGUUAUUCAUGGACCACUGGCAUAGAUUUAGCUGCUGCUAUGAUCCCAAUUUUAGCUUGAGAUUUAAUCUUCUUGGUUCUAUGCAGGAAUCUUCUCCUAUAUUGGUAUGUUUUACACACAUGUUUGUGUAGAUGACCAACUAUCUUAUUAACCUCAUUAAUGCCAAUUUCACCCUAUUCAGGAAUGGCAAUUGGGCAGAGUGGGUUUAGCAAUUCCCAUAUGAUGUCAUGACUGGUAUAGCUGUUGCUUCUGGUGCCUUUUAGCAAUUCUACGAGAUCAUAGAAGAAAGUAUUUAAUGAUGAUGGUCCCUUGGCAUUUGUUACUCCAAUGUUUAUUUGAUUUAAUACUUUGACUUGUGUGUCAGACCCCUGACAUGCAAAUAAAAAUAGCUCUUUUUUUUUUGGGUUUUCACCACUGUAUGCAAUUCUUAUUGACUUGUGGACUAUACGUUAUAGGGCAAACUUUUGGUAAAAACUGACGAUAUCUUUAUAAGAUAUCUGAAACUUAGAAAAAGGAAAAAGAUGAUGUGGUGUUCAUCUUGAAUGAUUGGGAGAAUAAGUUUAUGAAGAAAGUUAAUGUUGUAAGUCUUCAAUUAUUGAUGGUCGUGGACAUAAUUUUUCUAAGAAGUUUAGAACCACCCCUUCCAUAUAUAAAUAUAUAUAUGGAAGGGGGUGUUCUAAACUUUUAAUAUUGAAGGAAUAUAAGGGCGAAGAAAAUGUCAAAAAGGAAAAUGGGUUGAGCUACUAAGAAGGGAAGUCUUAUACUCAUACUCCUUGACACAAUUUUUAAUGGUAAUACUGGACAGCUUCAUUCAAUUUCACAUGUUUGCAUGUAAUGGUGGAUUGUUUGUAGUGAAUAUGUUGUUUUGUUUCUGCCAAAGGGUUCUCAUUUUUUUCAAUUGGUCCGUUAUUCUCUUCCAGUUUCUGGGGUUCAAAGCCUUUCUUCCAGUGUGCAAAGCACACCUGAGAAAAAUGGGAAUUCAGAUGACGCAUCAAGAAGUCCAGAACUCCUUCAAGAGUUUCUAAAAUCUGGUCCAAAAAGGGAACUUCUUCGAACUUGCUUUGACAAGGACAAGAAGCACACAGCUUCGUCGAAGAGCAAAACAACAGAAUUUGUGAAGAUGAGUAAUAAAACAUUUAAGAAGCAGGAGUCAAAAAAAGUGUCUUUAAGUCCCAAUAAUCAGCCUUCCUCUAAGAAGCAACAAAGAAAGGGGGAAAAUCCCACACGAGUUGUACUGACUUCUGAGCACUCAUCAGAUUUUGGAUGUUCAAACUCAUGGAUAUGUAAAAAUUCUGCUUGUAGAGCUGUCCUAUCCAUUGAUGACACAUUUUGCAAGAGGUGCUCUUGCUGUAUUUGUCAUUUAUUUGAUGAUAAUAAAGAUCCUAGUCUCUGGUUGGUUUGCACAUCUGAAAGUAGCCAGGGAGACUCCUGUGGGUUAUCAUGUCAUAUUGAGUGUGCACUUCAACAUGAAAAGGUGGGUGUUGCUGAUCUGGGGCAAUUGAUGCAGCUAGAUGGUAGUUAUUGUUGCGCUUCCUGUGGUAAAGUUUCAGGGAUACUUGGAUACUGGAAGAAGCAGCUAAUCAUUGCCAAGGAUGCUCGUCGUGUUGAUAUGCUCUGUUAUAGGAUAUAUUUGAGCUACAGGCUAUUGGAUGGGACUUCUAGGUUUAAAGAAUUGCAUGAAAUUGUGAAAGAUGCUAUGGCCAAACUAGAAACAGAAGUGGGCCCAGUGAAUGGUGUUUCUGCAAAGAUGGCACGUGGUAUAGUCAGCAGACUCUCUGUUGCUGCUGAUGUGCAGAAACUUUGCUCUCUUGCAAUUGAUAAAGCGGAGGAGUGGCUGGCUGCCAUUUCUGAUGGAAAAUCAAUUUGCGGAGAUGAUUCACUCCCUGCUGCUUGCAGGUUCUUAUUUGAAGAAGUGACAUCUUCAUCUGUUGUGAUCAUUUUAAUUGAAUUGUCCACUGUAUCAUCUGAUGAUAUUAAGGGCUACAAGCUCUGGUAUUGGAAGAGUAGAGAAGAAACACACACAAAAGACCCAAUUUGUGUGUUUCCAAGAGCUCAGAGGAGGAUUUUGAUAUCCAAUCUGCAGCCUUGCACUGAGUACACUUUUCGAAUUGUUUCAUAUACAGAGGCUGGUGACUGUGGUCACUCCGAGGCUAAGUGUUUUACCAAGAGCAUAGAGGUAAUUCACAGGAAUCCUAUUUCUUCUGUUGCUACGAAUGGCAAGAAGGCAAAUACCCACAUGGGAGGAGGUACUUCUGGUUCAAAAAGAGAGUUUAAAUCUGCAAUGUCUGUAAAUUCUUCAGGAUUCAAGGUUCGAGAACUUGGAAAGAUACUCCAUCUUGCUUGGGCUCAAGAGCAAGGAUUCUUUGAAGGUUUUUGCAGUGAUGAUACACAAAAAUGUUGUGGAGCUAGCAAAGUGAUGAAGUCUGAAACUUUAGAAGAUCAGUUGCCAUCUGUUUUGUGUGGGCUUGACUUAAAUAUUGUUUCUGUGCCUGAUUUGAAUGAAGAGCUGACUCCUCCAUUUGAGUCGUCCCGCGAUGAAGAUAAUGGGUAUGCUUUGGAACAGGCUGUUGAGGCGGAUGACGAUGCUGCUUCUCAUGACAUAAAGAAGAAUGGUUUAGCAAGAUCACAUGGAAGUGAUGACUCCCAGACCUGGACCGGUAGGCCAAGUGGAGAAGUGUCGGCUGUUGAUUCCCGGGCAGAACUGUGCAGGAAAAGGGCUGCACAUUCCAAUGAGGAGAUGAAUGACUGUGUUAGCACUUUGAUAAAUGGAUCACCAUUCCGUGUUUCCAAUGGCUCAGGUUGCUUGGAUGACAACUUUGAGGACUGUGUAAAGAUAAUCCGAAUGUUGGAAUGUGAGGGUCACAUUAACCAGGAAUUCAGGUUGAAAUUACUGACCUGGUUUAGUUUGAGAUCAACAGAACAAGAACGUCGAGUGGUUAACACUUUCAUUCAAACUUUGAUUGAUGAUCCUAGUAGUUUGGCAGGACAGUUAGUUGACUCUUUUUCAGAUAUCAUAUCCAGCAAGAGGCCAAGAAAUGGUUUCUGUAGCAAGCUGUGGCAUUAAAUUAGGGCAGGGCAUCCAAAAAUACAGGAUUGCAAUUUUCUUCACGGUUAUUUUCCCCAUGUGACAAAUUACUUCUGAUUGAUUUGCUGCUCUUUGUACAGGCAUUUUUUCUUGAUCACUUUGGGGAAGCGAUUCAUUUAUGUUAUGGACUGGUUUGUCCAGCUAAAAGAUUGGUUGCUGAUUGCAGAGAUGGUUCCCAAUUUUCUUGAAGGCAAUGUCCUUGGAUGGAAGGCUUCAUGCUGUAAAAGGCAUUUGCAUGUGAGAAUUCCCCCUCUAGAAGGCAUUUGCAUUUGAAGCAGCAGACUUUAGUGAUGAACGUCUGUAUUUAUAUGUGGAUACUGUUAUUGUUUUGCCUUCUGUAAUUGAAAGAAGGGAACGUUAAUUGAUGGCUGAAUUUAGUGUUUACAUUUUCUUCCCCUUUGUUGUCUUGUCUUAUCCUUAUAAGUUUUCAAAUGAGCUAGGAAUGGCAACACAUUGGUAUGAUUGAACCUAUUAACACGGGUUUGGACAAUGUAUAAUAAGGAUUAUGAUGGAUUUGAGUUUAGUGAAUAAUACUUAGAUUUGAAUUGG
Molecule: unclassified non-coding RNA, 4127 nt
Filed under: Hevea brasiliensis (rubber tree)
Lineage: Eukaryota; Viridiplantae; Streptophyta; Magnoliopsida; Malpighiales; Euphorbiaceae
Source: RNAcentral